CCAGAUCUUACAUAAACCCUCAACAUCACUUUUCCACCACAAAGCCACUAAAAAGUUAGGGUUUAUCAUUCAUCAAUUGAAUUGUUGUCAUUUUUGUUGCUUCAUAAUGGUGAAAUCUCUCAAAAUCGAAUGAGAGAAUCUCAAGUUUCCGGAGCAUAGAUUAAGCAUUCUAUCACCAGUAUUAAACAGCUCGGUGCGUAUACAAUCGCAUCGAUGUUACCUGUCUCCUGGUGUUGUGUAUGAGCCGAUGCCAUAUUAAUUUAAUCUUCGUUUUCUGAAUUUCUUGAUGUAGUUCUUAUUCAUGAGCUUAAAUCAUUUCAGAUC
Molecule: long non-coding RNA, 324 nt
Organism: Helianthus annuus (common sunflower)
Lineage: Eukaryota; Viridiplantae; Streptophyta; Magnoliopsida; Asterales; Asteraceae
Exons: 2
Source: RefSeq, a predicted model, not a curated record